Hordeum vulgare subsp. vulgare (domesticated barley) is the source of this 126-nucleotide non-coding RNA. NCBI's taxonomy places the organism in Eukaryota, Viridiplantae, Streptophyta, Magnoliopsida, Poales, Poaceae. The record is from Rfam.
AUAGUACUCCCUCCGUCCGAAAAUACUUAUCGGAGGAAUGGAUGUAUCUAGAUGUAUUUUACUUCUACAUACAUUUAUUAUUAUCUAUUUUUUGUGACAAGUAAUUUCGGACAGAUGAAGUAUUAG